This 2647-nucleotide ribosomal RNA is filed under the name Escherichia coli. Its description in RNAcentral is "partial 23S ribosomal RNA". It matches the Rfam family "Bacterial large subunit ribosomal RNA". Lineage: Bacteria; Pseudomonadati; Pseudomonadota; Gammaproteobacteria; Enterobacterales; Enterobacteriaceae. The record is from RNAcentral.
AAACCCAGUGUGUUUCGACACACUAUCAUUAACUGAAUCCAUAGGUUAAUGAGGCGAACCGGGGGAACUGAAACAUCUAAGUACCCCGAGGAAAAGAAAUCAACCGAGAUUCCCCCAGUAGCGGCGAGCGAACGGGGAGGAGCCCAGAGCCUGAAUCAGUGUGUGUGUUAGUGGAAGCGUCUGGAAAGGCGUGCGAUACAGGGUGACAGCCCCGUACACAAAAAUGCACAUAUUGUGAGCUCGAUGAGUAGGGCGGGACACGUGGUAUCCUGUCUGAAUAUGGGGGGACCAUCCUCCAAGGCUAAAUACUCCUGACUGACCGAUAGUGAACCAGUACCGUGAGGGAAAGGCGAAAAGAACCCCGGCGAGGGGAGUGAAAAAGAACCUGAAACCGUGUACGUACAAGCAGUGGGAGCCUCUUAAUGGGGUGACUGCGUACCUUUUGUAUAAUGGGUCAGCGACUUAUAUUCUGUAGCAAGGUUAACCGAAUAGGGGAGCCGAAGGGAAACCGAGUCUUAACUGGGCGUUAAGUUGCAGGGUAUAGACCCGAAACCCGGUGAUCUAGCCAUGGGCAGGUUGAAGGUUGGGUAACACUAACUGGAGGACCGAACCGACUAAUGUUGAAAAAUUAGCGGAUGACUUGUGGCUGGGGGUGAAAGGCCAAUCAAACCGGGAGAUAGCUGGUUCUCCCCGAAAGCUAUUUAGGUAGCGCCUCGUGAAUUCAUCUCCGGGGGUAGAGCACUGUUUCGGCAAGGGGGUCAUCCCGACUUACCAACCCGAUGCAAACUGCGAAUACCGGAGAAUGUUAUCACGGGAGACACACGGCGGGUGCUAACGUCCGUCGUGAAGAGGGAAACAACCCAGACCGCCAGCUAAGGUCCCAAAGUCAUGGUUAAGUGGGAAACGAUGUGGGAAGGCCCAGACAGCCAGGAUGUUGGCUUAGAAGCAGCCAUCAUUUAAAGAAAGCGUAAUAGCUCACUGGUCGAGUCGGCCUGCGCGGAAGAUGUAACGGGGCUAAACCAUGCACCGAAGCUGCGGCAGCGACACUAUGUGUUGUUGGGUAGGGGAGCGUUCUGUAAGCCUGUGAAGGUGGCCUGUGAGGGUUGCUGGAGGUAUCAGAAGUGCGAAUGCUGACAUAAGUAACGAUAAAGCGGGUGAAAAGCCCGCUCGCCGGAAGACCAAGGGUUCCUGUCCAACGUUAAUCGGGGCAGGGUGAGUCGACCCCUAAGGCGAGGCCGAAAGGCGUAGUCGAUGGGAAACAGGUUAAUAUUCCUGUACUUGGUGUUACUGCGAAGGGGGGACGGAGAAGGCUAUGUUGGCCGGGCGACGGUUGUCCCGGUUUAAGCGUGUAGGCUGGUUUUCCAGGCAAAUCCGGAAAACCAAGGCUGAGGCGUGAUGACGAGGCACUACGGUGCUGAAGCGACAAAUGCCCUGCUUCCAGGAAAAGCCUCUAAGCAUCAGGUAACAUCAAAUCGUACCCCAAACCGACACAGGUGGUCAGGUAGAGAAUACCAAGGCGCUUGAGAGAACUCGGGUGAAGGAACUAGGCAAAAUGGUGCCGUAACUUCGGGAGAAGGCACGCUGAUAUGUAGGUGAAGCGACUUGCUCGUGGAGCUGAAAUCAGUCGAAGAUACCAGCUGGCUGCAACUGUUUAUUAAAAACACAGCACUGUGCAAACACGAAAGUGGACGUAUACGGUGUGACGCCUGCCCGGUGCCGGAAGGUUAAUUGAUGGGGUUAGCGGUAACGCGAAGCUCUUGAUCGAAGCCCCGGUAAACGGCGGCCGUAACUAUAACGGUCCUAAGGUAGCGAAAUUCCUUGUCGGGUAAGUUCCGACCUGCACGAAUGGCGUAAUGAUGGCCAGGCUGUCUCCACCCGAGACUCAGUGAAAUUGAACUCGCUGUGAAGAUGCAGUGUACCCGCGGCAAGACGGAAAGACCCCGUGAACCUUUACUAUAGCUUGACACUGAACAUUGAGCCUUGAUGUGUAGGAUAGGUGGGAGGCUUUGAAGUGUGGACGCCAGUCUGCAUGGAGCCGACCUUGAAAUACCACCCUUUAAUGUUUGAUGUUCUAACGUUGGCCCGUAAUCCGGGUUGCGGACAGUGUCUGGUGGGUAGUUUGACUGGGGCGGUCUCCUCCUAAAGAGUAACGGAGGAGCACGAAGGUUGGCUAAUCCUGGUCGGACAUCAGGAGGUUAGUGCAAUGGCAUAAGCCAGCUUGACUGCGAGCGUGACGGCGCGAGCAGGUGCGAAAGCAGGUCAUAGUGAUCCGGUGGUUCUGAAUGGAAGGGCCAUCGCUCAACGGAUAAAAGGUACUCCGGGGAUAACAGGCUGAUACCGCCCAAGAGUUCAUAUCGACGGCGGUGUUUGGCACCUCGAUGUCGGCUCAUCACAUCCUGGGGCUGAAGUAGGUCCCAAGGGUAUGGCUGUUCGCCAUUUAAAGUGGUACGCGAGCUGGGUUUAGAACGUCGUGAGACAGUUCGGUCCCUAUCUGCCGUGGGCGCUGGAGAACUGAGGGGGGCUGCUCCUAGUACGAGAGGACCGGAGUGGACGCAUCACUGGUGUUCGGGUUGUCAUGCCAAUGGCACUGCCCGGUAGCUAAAUGCGGAAGAGAUAAGUGCUGAAAGCAUCUAAGCACGAAACUUGC